RNAcentral lists this long non-coding RNA (828 nucleotides) under Mus musculus (house mouse). RNAcentral describes it as "RIKEN cDNA 4930482G09 gene (4930482G09Rik)". Lineage: Eukaryota; Metazoa; Chordata; Mammalia; Rodentia; Muridae. The record is from RNAcentral.
AAAUAGUGAAGAGGGACAUUUAACUCAAGAAAGGCGUACAAGGCCAUCCCAGAUAAUAUAGAUAUUCAUCCAUGAAAGAAGAAUGUUAUACUGUUGACGUAGAACAUGGGGAAAGUUCCUUACGACCUUUGCACAAGUAAAGUUUUCUUAAGCAAGACAGAAAUUUAAUGUUCAACUAAACGAAGUCAUCUGAUAGAAUGGAAACUGUUCACUGAGAUACACAAUCAGGAAGGUGAAAUAAGAAUCUCGAAGCUGGCUAAAAGCUUCCUGGAACUCUCUCUGUAGACCAGGCUGGCCUUGAACUCACAAGAUCUACCUGCCUCUGGCUCCGUCUCUGCUGGGGUUCAAGGCUUACACCAUCUUGCCUAGCCUAAAAGGUUUAAUUCUUAGAAGUAAGGCAGAACGGUGGAGUGAGACGUUGGAGAGAUGCCAGUGACUUAGAAUUCGCCCAGGGAUCUAGUCCAGGGCAUGGUGACAGCAAUGGUGCUUAGAAUCAUGAAGUACAGUCUUCUCACACGGAGAAGCAGCCACAGGAAGUACCUGAACACCUUCUGAGGACAUGUCCCUGACUGAGGAUGUGUCUGUCACUAAGCCUCGAGUCUUCAAAAUUCCAUCACUGUCCUGUAUGGCUACCCACAGGGCCAAGUCCCAAAAGAUGAGGUUUUGAAAGAACAAAAGCAACUCAAAUCACAGCAGAGGCCACACAUGGUAUAGCAACAUUCAAACAAACAAAAUUCUACUUCUUUUCUGUUUCUACUACCCAGUCUGUAUGUGGCAGCUUUCGGCAAACAGUCAACAACUUAUAAAUAAAAUACAUGCCUGUAUAGG